This 3088-nucleotide long non-coding RNA is filed under the name Astyanax mexicanus (Mexican tetra). RNAcentral describes it as "lncRNA (ENSAMXG00005002760.1)". The record is from RNAcentral. Lineage: Eukaryota; Metazoa; Chordata; Actinopteri; Characiformes; Acestrorhamphidae.
CACCCAUCCCUCCCCGCUCUCACGCAACACUAUAAAACUUUGCAGGAGUCUGGUUCAGCCAGUCUUUCACCACUUCCUCUUAUUGUAUGAUCACAGGUUUCUCCUGUAGUGAACAGUUUAUCUUCUCUUCUUCGCGAAGGACUAAGAGGAGUUUGAACAAGGGCUGGGACAGGAUGACCCGCAGGUCCCUAUCUGAUCCAGAAUCUCCAGUGGAAAUGGUCAGUGGUGGAGAAAGUCCUUUAGAUAUGAAUCCCUGUGUAGACACAGGUCAGCACAGGGGCCGGCAGCUCACCUGUCCCAGCCCUCCGGAGUACGGGACUGCCUUCAUGGUUUCCAAGAAGCGUAGUCCCUCACCUCCAGAGGACAGUGGACCAGAAUGGCUUGUACGGAAGAAGAGUCGACAGAGUGAAUGUCCUGCUGAUGAUGAAGCAGAUUCUGCUGAAGGCUCGAACAGUAUGGACACCACUCUCACCACCAUCGACCACCCAGCUGACGUAGACUCCAGUCAGACCACCACCGACCACCCAGCUGAUGUAGACACCAGUCAGACCACCACCGACCACCCAGCUGACGUACACACCAGUCAGACCACCACCAACCACCCAGCUGACGUAGACACCAGUGAGACCACCACCGACCACCCAGCUGACUUAUACUCCAGUCUGACCACCACCGACCACCCAGCUGACGUAGACUCCAGUCUGACCACCACCGACCACCCAGCUGACAUAGACACCAGUGAGACCACCACCGACCACCCAGCUGACGUAGACUCGAGUCUGACCACCACCGACAACCCAGCUGUCGUAGACACCAGUCAGACCACCACCGACCACCUGGCUGACGUAGACUCCAGUCUGACCACUACCGACCACCCAGCUGACGUAGACACCAGUCAGACCACCAUUGACCACCCAGCUGACGUAGACACCAGUCAGACCACCAUUGACCACCUGGCUGACGUAGACUCCAGUCUGACCACUAUCGACCACCCAGCUGACGUAGACACCAGUCAGACCACCACCGACCACUCAUCUGACGUAGACAAUAUGAAGAUCGUUCUGGCUGGAAUCCCUAAUACUGUGAAGCUGUCCCCUGAAGAGUGGAAUAGAUUAAAUUUGAUUGAUUAUUGCUCAAUGACAAAUAAUUUAAUAUAUCCAGAUCUGUCUAAUCGAUCUCAGUCUAUUCUUCUGAUUUUAAAACUAUGUUACCUUACUCUUUAUACACCUAGAUAUGAUUCUGACAGUACUAUCAAGAACAUUGUUUCUAUUCAGCAUAAAAAAAUGCGUCAGUCAUUAAAAACAGAGGAGGAAAAGAUCAAAGUCCAGAAUCAGAAUCAGUAUGCAUUUAAUUUUUUAAGAAAAAAAAAUGGCUCGUAUACAGACCCCUCUCAACUGUAUUUCCCAAAGGACAAAGGUCAGGUUCACAGUGAGGAUUUUAUAGUUGAGGAAAUACGAGAUUAUAUCAAUAAUGGAAGAAUCAGUGAGUACAGUGAGCUGUGGAUCUUCACUCUGAACAGUCCGUGUUUGGGGAGAAAAGAUACUGAUCCCUGUAUGAUUAAGUUAACCAGUUUAUCAGAUGAACUUGACAGACUUUACCAGAUUAAAACUUUCAUCACAUAUUCCAAACCGUACGGCCCAACAGGUUCCAUCGUUAAAAUAUUACCAGAUCACACCUACAGAACCAUCCAGAACAGUGAUUACCAUCAGGACCCUCCAUCAACCGUCCCUGAAACUGAUAAAUCCACUAAAUUUAAGAUAAAGAGAUGUGAUUCGUUACCAGCUGAUAUCUCUAAUAAAGCUCUGACUUCUCUGACAGUUAGUGAGAACAAUUAUCAGUGUUGUACCAGACUGCCCACUCCUAACAAGCCAUUUAAGGUAAAAAGAUGCAAUUCGCUCACGGAAAAUAGAACUUACAAAACACCAAGUAAUUCCUCUAAAACAACAAAUCUAAACAAUUCCGAACCUCAGUUUAACAGGUCCAGUUCUGACCGUUCAUCUCAAACCAGUGAUUUCAACAAGUUACUGGAGUCAGCGAGGGACACACUCCUCACCACAGCCGAUCGUGAAUCUGAAUUCCUCAUGAAACUGUCUUCUAGAUUUAAACUAAAAAAUGUGAUGAACUCACUUAAAGAAAAUAUUCCCAAAGAUAAAUGGAAAAUACUUUUUAAUGGAUUGAAUAAAUGUUGCCCUGAAUCCCCCAAAACUCCACACAGUUUUAAAGAGUUAGAAAGCAUGGGAUUGAAUAGAGCAGAAGAACAUGAAAAGUCACUGAGAGCUUUAUUCAGUGAGCAGAUUAAUCAGAGUGUCUGUAAUACCAUCUGUGAGACGUUUAAAUCUGAGUUCCUGAGCUGGUGGACUUCAGACCUAGAAAAGUCUUACAACACAUUUCUAAACACGAGAUUCAGUGAUGCUUUUAAUAGAACAGCUGUUGAGAGGUUCAUUCACAACAUCCAGAACCUUCCAUAUAAACCUACUAUAGUCUGUGUUGAUGACAUCACUGAUUCUCAGAGUAGAGACUGUAGUCGUGACAUCACUGACUCUCAGAGUAUAGACUGUACUCGUGACAUCGCUGAUUCUCAGAGUACAGACUGUAGUCUUGACAUCGCUGAUUCUCAGAGUAUAGACUGUAGUCGUGACAUCGCUGAUUCUCAGAGUAUAGACUCUCUUAGUGACAUCACUAAUACUUCUCAUGCCAUCACUGAUUCUCAGAGUAUAGACUGUAGUCUUGACAUCGCUGAUUCUCAGAGUAUAGACUCUCUUAGUGACGUCACUAAUACUCCUCAUGACAUCACUCAUUCUCAUCAUGGCAUCGCUGAUUCUCAGAUUAUAGACUCUCUUUGUGACAUCACUAAUACUCCUUAUGACAUCACUGAGUUUCCUCAUGACAUCACGGUUCUCAGAAUAUAGGAUGAAACUAAUGAUUUUUUUAGUAUAGUUUGUUUUGGUGACAUCGUUAACAGUUCUUGGUAGUACUCAGUACAUCAGUAAGAGUUUCUGUUCAGGUGCUGUUUCUCCUUCACUCUUAUCUAUCAGUAAAUUUGUCUAAACUGAAUAAAAAAAAAUUCCCCCUGAAUCUUGCUGUGUUU